Molecule: ribosomal RNA, 253 nt
Filed under: uncultured archaeon
Lineage: Archaea
Description: partial 16S ribosomal RNA
Rfam family: Archaeal small subunit ribosomal RNA
Source: RNAcentral
CACCUGCGCCACGAGUGGUGAUCACUUUUAUUUGGCCUAAAGCGUUCGUAGCCGGAUCAGCAAGUCUUGGGUGAAAUCGUUACGCUUAACAAAACGGCGUGCUUGAGAUACUACUGAUCUUGGGACCGGGAGGAGUUAGGAGUAUUCCUGAGGGAGCGGUAAAAUGCUAUAAUCUCAGGAGGACUACCUGUGGCGAAGGCGCCUAACUAGAACGGGUCUGACGGUGAGGAACGAAAGCUAGGGGAGCAAACCG